This 70-nucleotide transfer RNA is filed under the name Entemnotrochus rumphii. Its description in RNAcentral is "tRNA-Ser". Lineage: Eukaryota; Metazoa; Mollusca; Gastropoda; Pleurotomariida; Pleurotomariidae. The record is from RNAcentral.
AGGGAAUAAUGAGAGAAUAAAGUAGGGCUGCUAACUUUACUUUGAGUGGUUUAACUCCAUUCUUUUCCUU